UGUAGGGAACAGAGCAGAAGGAGUCAGACAGGCUGGUUUCCAUGGCCUUGGGGCCGGUCACUUCCUUCUGUGAUUCCCAUGUUCCUCAUUUGAAGCGUGAAGAGAGUCCCCUUGGCCUUAAAAGGCACAUCUUCUCCGUUCAUUCAUUCAUUCACUCAUUCAUAGAAGAUGGCGUUUCCUAAGGAAUAGAUUGCUCUGUAUAGCGUCUAUCUUUGGGGGGGGGGCGUAAAAUGGGGUCAUUUGGUAGACAUAUUAUUUGCUCAGCAAACAUUUACUUGCCUAGCCCUCCCCACUUGGAGAGGGAUAGAAUUUCCUCACUCUGUUGAUAUUAGAUUUAGCCAUGUGACUUGCUGGAGACAGAAUACAGGCGGAAGCGGCAGCAGCCAGCUCCGGAGUCGCUGAGCCUCCCCUUUCCCACCUCUUGAGCAAUUGUCCUUGGCCAUGAGAAUACCAGAUAGCGGGAGUCCUUCAGCCGGACAAAGAAGGAGCAGACAAGGGAGACAGCUGUGUGUGACCCAAAGCUCGGAGGCCAGCCCGACCCAGCUAACCCACGGUGCUGAGAUUGAAUUUAGGGGCCUUGCACGUCUGGUCAAUCACUCCAGGACUGAUCUCCAUCCCUGUCUCUGGUUCUUGUAGUUCGCCGGUCUCACUGAGAAGCACAGGAACUGUCUACCCUGUGCUGUGAGGACAGGAACUCUUAUUGGAGCUCAUCAAAUAGUCUGCAGGGUCCCGAGUGGCCUUUCUGCCUCUGCCCUGUCCUCUCAGUGAUGGCAGCCUUGAAACUGUCUUCUGAGUUAUGGCAGCUACGCCCACAGGACUGGGUGACCCAGUGGGUCCUGGACAAUCUUCCUGUGGGUAUGCAGUCUUCGUUCUCCCAAAGCCUGGAGUCCUUGAGCAUCUCUCUUGCGGUAGAUGCCUCUGGAAGCUGCUUCUUCCACAAUGGCUGAAGGAAGUCUCCCCAGCGCCAAGCCACACUGCUCUGAAAGCCAUCCUUGAACGAAUGACCUGCUAAGAGUGCAGUUUUCGCUCCCUCUCUCCCGGACUUUGAUUUGAUCAGGCCAAAUCUGAAAUGAUGUGUGAAAGUAAUGAUAUUUGGUAAUUAAAUCUCUGGUGACGGCCACUGCAAUUUGUGCUACAUGCAUUGUUCAUAAGGAAAAAAAAAAACCCGCAUCAAUUCAUUUUCUGACCGGCUACUCCAGGGACUAGCAAUUAGGGGCUGCUCAUCGCUCUCGUCGCCUCGCAUAUUAAAGAGCUACUGAAACGCAAAGAGAAUUUGGGAGGGUUUCCCCCCUCCCAACCUUCUAAUAAUGUUAGCUUAAUUAGGGAGGUUCAGUGAUAAAGGGGCACUUUGUGAUGAUUUGAGCAAACCAAUGGUGGAGAGGAGAGAGUGAGCUAACAGGGAGGAAGGUUGGGGUGAGGUUUGGGGCUGUUCCACCCUGGGGCACCUGGUGGUGAGUAAGGACAAAGAGUUCUGGACAUCCCAGUGAAGUUCUGCUUCCUUCCCCACCUUGGGUC
This 1515-nucleotide small RNA is filed under the name Rattus norvegicus (Norway rat). RNAcentral's name for it is "uncharacterized LOC102550999". Lineage: Eukaryota; Metazoa; Chordata; Mammalia; Rodentia; Muridae. The record is from RNAcentral.